RNAcentral lists this ribosomal RNA (303 nucleotides) under uncultured bacterium. RNAcentral's name for it is "partial 16S ribosomal RNA". It matches the Rfam family "Bacterial small subunit ribosomal RNA", at positions 507 to 807 of the family's 1533-position model. The record is from RNAcentral.
AGCAGCAGCCGCGGUAAAACAGAGGGUGCGAGCGUUAAUCGGAUUUACUGGGCGUAAAGCGUGCGUAGGCGGCUUUUUAAGUCGGAUGUGAAAUCCCUGAGCUUAACUUAGGAAUUGCAUUCGAUACUGGGAAGCUAGAGUAUGGGAGAGGAUGGUAGAAUUCCAGGUGUAGCGGUGAAAUGCGUAGAGAUCUGGAGGAAUACCGAUGGCGAAGGCAGCCAUCUGGCCUAAUACUGACGCUGAGGUACGAAAGCAUGGGGAGCAAACAGGAUUAGAUACCCCAGUAGUCCCUGUCUCUUAUAC